CCACCCUGAACAGACUGAUCUUGUCUGAUUUCAGAAGCUAAGCAGGAUCUGGCCUGGUCAAUACUUGGAUGGGUCACUACUACAGAGAAUCCCAGG
This 96-nucleotide ribosomal RNA is filed under the name Pogona vitticeps (central bearded dragon). The record is from RNAcentral. Lineage: Eukaryota; Metazoa; Chordata; Lepidosauria; Squamata; Agamidae.